CCUACGGGAGGCAGCAGUGGGGAAUCUUGUGCAAUGGACGAAAGUCUGACACAGCCACGCCGCGUGCGGGAAGAAGGCCUUCGGGUUGUAAACCGCUUUCAGCAGGAACGAAAAUGACGGUACCUGCAGAAGAAGAUGCGGCCAACUACGUGCCAGCAGCCGCGGUGAUACGUAGGCAUCAAGCGUUGUCCGGAUUUAUUGGGCGUAAAGAGCUCGUAGGCGGUUCAGCAAGUCGGGUGUGAAAACUCUGGGCUUAACCCAGAGCCUGCACUCGAAACUGCUGUGACUAGAGUUCGGUAGGGGAGCAGGGAAUUCCUAGUGUGGCGGUGAAAUGCGCAGAUAUUAGGAGGAACACCAAUGGCGAAGGCACUGCUCUGGGCCGAUAUUGACGCUGAGGAGCGAGAGCGUGGGUAGCAAACAGGAUUAGAUACCCUGGUAGUCCACGCCGUAAACGAUGGGCACUAGGUGUGGGUCUCUAACCAACGAGAUCUGCGCCGUCGCUAACGCAUUAAGUGCCCCGCCUGGGGAGUCGGUCGCAAGACUAAAACUCAAAUGAAUUGACGG
Molecule: ribosomal RNA, 564 nt
Filed under: uncultured bacterium
Lineage: Bacteria
Description: bacterial SSU rRNA
Rfam family: Bacterial small subunit ribosomal RNA
Source: RNAcentral